RNAcentral lists this transfer RNA (71 nucleotides) under Pseudocohnilembus persalinus. It matches the Rfam family "tRNA". Rfam says of the family: Transfer RNA (tRNA) molecules are approximately 80 nucleotides in length. Their secondary structure includes four short double-helical elements and three loops (D, anti-codon, and T loops). Further hydrogen bonds mediate the characteristic L-shaped molecular structure. tRNAs have two regions of fundamental functional importance: the anti-codon, which is responsible for specific mRNA codon recognition, and the 3' end, to which the tRNAs corresponding amino acid is attached (by aminoacyl-tRNA synthetases). tRNAs cope with the degeneracy of the genetic code in two manners: having more than one tRNA (with a specific anti-codon) for a particular amino acid; and 'wobble' base-pairing, i.e. permitting non-standard base-pairing at the 3rd anti-codon position. The record is from Rfam by way of RNAcentral. Lineage: Eukaryota; Ciliophora; Oligohymenophorea; Philasterida; Pseudocohnilembidae.
AACUCCUUAGUACAGAGGUAGUAUAGUAGACUACGAAUCUAUAGACCCGGGUUCAAUUCCCGGAGGGGUUG